Molecule: small RNA, 5847 nt
Filed under: Pongo abelii (Sumatran orangutan)
Lineage: Eukaryota; Metazoa; Chordata; Mammalia; Primates; Hominidae
Description: retained intron
Source: RNAcentral
UGCUUCUGUAUGGGCGAGUGUGUGUGUGCUUGUGGAGAGAAAAUUGAGACAUCAGAAUUGAGAGGAGGCUGUCCCUGAGUGGUGGAGUUGUGUCUCAGUGUGAAGUUCCCUGGCGUGAGCCUGUUCAGUGCUCCCCGGGGGCCCCUCAACUGCAUGUUGGGUCCUGCCCUCAUCUGGCCCGCCUCACCUGCCUGCCUUCUUCCCCUGCUCCCCAGGGGGGCGCGCGUUGCCACACGGGUCUGCUUUGGGUUGGCCGGGCAUGCCGGCCUCCUCUGCCCCUGGACUUCUGGAAGUGUACUGUCCCAUCUCUCCUGGGGAAUCUCUAUCCAGUAUAUGCUUUACCUUUUUUGGGAUACUCUUGCUCCCCAGGACUGGACCGCAUGCCCUCAUCUGGGUUCUCAGAACACCCCACACUCUGCCUGCCGCCCACCAGCUCACUGGGCUGUGGUGGCCUCUGUCCCAUGCUCCACAGUGAGCCCUCAGGACUGAGUUAAGUGUGCCUUUAAAAAUUACUUGUCUUGUUCCCAUUUUGAGGGGAAACUUUAGUUUAAAGGACAUUCAUAGGGUCCACCUCCCCAUCAGUUUUUGGGGUGAAACAGACAGUAGACUCCAUUCUUGCUUGCCCUAUUUAGGCAAGCAGGGCCAUUGCCCCUGAUCCCCCAGAGCCCUUCAGACGUGAGCUGAUGUGAGCACUUGCACCAGGAGGAAGCUGGUCCACCUUUGGCCUCCUCCCUGUCUCCCUCUGUGUGGACCACAUACGUAAUUAAGUGCCACACGUUUCCCUUCGCUCCGGGGAGCACAGUUCCUGUGCUGCCUGGUGGGGCGCUGACAGCUGUCAGAGCAAGGUGUCUGGGCUGGUGAAACAAACACACUCCCAAGUUCUCCCCGACAUCCCCCAUAGUGGCCGUUCCCUAGGGCAGUGGCUGUUCCCCAGGGCAGUGGCUGUUCCCAGGGCGGUGGCCGUUCCUCAGGGCAGUGGCCCACAGCUUGUCUUGUUUCUCCAAGCAUUUUGGGGUGUCUUUUUGGGGUCCUUUAGCUUCUGAGGAAUGUCCUCUAAACUUUCCUCACGUAGCCGUCUGUAGGGGAUGCUCGCUCUUGGAUGUCCUGAAUCAUCUGAGAGGCUUUGUCUAAAGACCAGGCUUGGGUUUUCUUUCCCAGACGCUCUCAGUCAGAGUCGCUAAGGGCUGGCCUUUUCAUCUUCACCCUCUCAAGUUCCACAGACUGUCCUGGGAGAUUCAGCCUCCUCAUCCAUAAAAUAACAGAUUUUAACAGGAUUAUCUGUACGCCUCUCCCCCGGGCUCUAAUUAAACCUGUUUCCACCACAAGGCCACCUGCCGUGCACCUCCUGACCCUGGGACUGUCACGAUGAUGGCUAUGCUGGUUCUUUUUCCCUAGUAAUCAGGGAACUGGUUGUUUUGUUCAUUCACUUUGUGGAAAUUUGUUGAGCCACACACUCACUUACAAUUUGUGUUUUUCUGUCUAUGAGUUUGAUGUCAAUCAAAAGUGUCCUUAAAACAAGCAACAAAACAGUGACACUUCCUGGUCUUGUCCCUGGACCUGGGGAGGGACCCUCCCUACUCUGGGAGGCUCUAGGGGGUUAAGGCCCCUCCCUUGGGUCUUAGAAUCCCUGGGCACGAGUGGCCGUGCGGGAGGAAUUGCCACUUCUGGUGUUGGUCUAUUAAAGCAUCCGCUUCUGGCUCCCGUGAGGCCAAUCCAUGAGCCAGGACUGACUGAGUACUUAUCAAAUAUUUUAAAAAGUCAAGGCCGGGCACGGUGGCUCACGCUUGUAAUCCCAGCACUUUGGGAGGCCGAGGCGAGGCGGGCGGAUCACGAGGUCAGGAGAUCGAGACCACGGUGAAACCCUGUCUCUACUAAAAAUACAAAAAAUUAGCUGGGUGUGGUGGUGGGCGCCUGUAGUCCCAGCUACUCAGAGAGGGUGAGGCAGGAGAAUGGUGUGAACCUGGGAGGCGGAGCUUGCAGUGAGCCGAGAUCACGCCACUGCACUCCAACCUGGGCAACAGAGUGAGACACUGUCUCAAAAAGAAAAAAAAAAAAAGUCAAGUAAGCUCUAAUUUGCCUUUUUGUUGUUGUUAGAGAUGGGGUCUCUCUGUUGCUCAUGCUGGAGCGCAGCGAUGUGUGAUCACAGCUCACCGCAGCCUUGAAGUCCUGGGCUCAAGUGAUCCUCUCACCUCAGCUUCUCGAAUAGCUGGGACUACAGGCACACACCAUCAUGCCCAGCUCAUUAUUUUAUUUUAUUUUUGUAGAGACGGGGUCUCACCAAUGUUGCCCAGGCUGGUCUUGAACUCCUGGACUCGAGCGAUCUUCCUUCGGCCUCCCAAAGUGCUGGGAUCACAGGCAUGAGCCACCGUGCCUGGCAUCAGCUCUCAUUUGAAUUAGUCAAGUUUUGAAGAAUCACACUCAUUUUGUCCGAGCUCGGCAGUUCUGUUGUCUCUUACGCUUGGCUUGUCUGUGUCCUCUUUGCCAUUGGUCCUGAUUUCAGUUACUGUUUCCUCUCUCAUUGUAAUAUCACAUAUGCUGCCUAAGAGCUUCCUGGACUAAGGGGAGAUAUGGAUACAUUAAUGCUUUAAAGAAAUUCCCAUCGUUUUUCUGCUUGUCCACGUGUGGGUUCCACUUUCUGUCUGUGUUUUCAGACAGCCCUUCCCGCAUCUCAUGUUUUUUUAAUAUGAAAUGUCACCACAGAAGCAGAAACUUUCCAAGCCACACUUUGCUGGCUGAGGCUGGGCAUGAGCGUUCAGUGCCUGCCGUCUUCUUGCAAUUUACCUUCUCCUGAAGGCCCUGCAGUGCCUGGAACGUGUCAGGGAGAAGACACGCCCUGAUGUGAGCUUACGACACUCAUUAAACAUAGGAAGUUAUGUGCGCCUUUCUCUGCAGGGAUUAAAGAUUUCAUGUGUGAAUUGUGUGGGAAGACAUUCAGCGAGAGGAACACAAUGGAGACCCACAAGCUCAUCCACACAGGUGAGCGGCACGGCCUGAAGGAGCCUUCGGGGCCACACGCGGCAGGCUGCCGGGGCUGUCUGAGCGCCUGCGGGGUGAAAACGACGAUUCUGUUAUCUAGACGGUUCCAGCACAUUUAGUGGUGUCUUGGCUUCAUGGUGGCCCCUUGGCCUCUAAAGGCCAACCCGCCACAGCUUUCAAGUAUCCCUUCUUGAAUUUUCUCAUAUUGGUUCAGUGAUGCAGCUGCCGCCACAGUGCUCCCCAAGAGACAGAGGCUCUGUGCUCCUGUGUGCUCGGGGACCAGCACCGGCCCUCUCAGGGCGGGCAGGGCGUGACAGGCUUCUUGCCUCGUCCAGCAGGCCAGGGUCAUUGGAAUGGCUGCACUAGUGACCUGCGUGUCUCUUCCUUUCCACGCGCAUAUGUGUCUGCGUGUGUGUGAAAAGUGGGCAAGCAGUGGACGUGCUCCGUGUGCGACAAGAAGUACGUGACCGAGUACAUGCUGCAGAAGCACGUUCAGCUCACACACGACAAGGUGGAGGCGCAGAGCUGCCAGCUGUGCGGGACGAAGGUGUCCACCAGGGCCUCCAUGAGCCGACACAUGCGGCGCAAGCACCCCGAGGUGCUCGCGGUGAGGAUCGAUGACCUGGACCACCUCCCGGAGGCCACAACCAUCGACGCCUCCUCCAUCGGCAUCGUCCAGCCUGAGCUGACUCUGGAGCAGGAGGAUUUGGCCGAAGGGAAGCACGGGAAAGCUGCCAAGAGAAGUCACAAGAGAAAGCAGAAGCCAGAAGAGGAGGCGGGCGCUCCGGUGCCUGAGGACGCCACCUUCAGCGAAUACUCAGAGAAAGAGACGGAGUUCACAGGCAGCGUAGGCGACGAGACCAAUUCCGCAGUACAGAGCAUUCAGCAGGUAGUGGUGACCCUGGGUGACCCAAAUGUGACCACACCAUCGAGCUCAGUCGGCUUGACCAACAUCACCGUGACCCCCAUCACCACUGCAGCUGCGACUCAGUUUACCAAUCUCCAGCCGGUGGCCGUGGGGCACCUUACCACCCCUGAACGCCAGUUACAGCUGGACAACUCAAUCCUGACCGUGACCUUUGAUACCGUCAGCGGCUCUGCCAUGUUGCACAACCGCCAAAAUGACGUCCAGAUCCACCCCCAGCCGGAAGCCUCGAACCCACAGUCUGUGGCCCACUUCAUCAAUCUGACGACCCUGGUCAACUCCAUCACACCCCUGGGGAGCCAGCUUAGUGACCAGCACCCGCUCACAUGGCGGGCAGUACCCCAGACUGACGUCUUGCCACCCCCGCAGCCGCAGGCACCCCCACAGCAGGCAGCCCAGCCCCAGGUGCAGGCGGAGCAGCAGCAGCAGAUGUACAGCUACUGAGCUGCGUUCCGGGAGACUCGGGGCAAGAACUGCAGAGGGAUGUUUGGGAUUUGUUUAGAUUUGUUUGCUGGAUACCAAACAAACAAAAAGUCAUACAUUGCAAUGUAAGGUUGACUUAGCUUUGCAGAGUAUCUCCAGAUUCCCUGCCAGCAACCAUUACGGUCUGUCAGCUUAACUCUAGAAGCGACCUCUGGCAGGCCAGAGUUUUAAACUGGAUGGGGUUCCACACUAUGCCUUACCAAGGCAGUAAGUCCUGGGCCGGGGCCACGUCUGCCUCCCCUUACAGAACCAGUGUUUGCCUGACACAGGGUUCGGGAAAAUGAAGCAGAGAGAGAAGCAGGAUCAUAAGAGGCAGCAGAUAAGUUAUUAGGAACACAAAUGGUUCAUUUUCUUUUUUCUUUUGGAGCUUGGUUCCUAUGAGAACACAGACAGUGUUCACAGGUGGCAGCAGGCAGCAGGGAACAUUUUCUCCUCACUUCUGGAUUUUUUUGCAAGCGAGCAGAUAGAAGUUAAAGUAACGUUUAUUCUCUUUGAACUAGGAGUUGAGUUGGUUCUUAUACAACUAUGGGCUGAAACCAUACGUGAGGCGUGCUGAGCCGCCCGCACAUGAUCCUGCAGCCUUCGAGCUCGUCAAGGUCAUCACGUACAAGGGGUCACGUGAGGUCACUGACUCCAGCUCAAAAGGCAUCUUAGUAAUAUCCGUGAAUCGAUUUCCAAUAGAGUUUUUUUCCUUUUUUUUUUUUUUUAACUUUAUUUCAAACAUACAUUAUGUGUUCAAGACUGUUAUGGCCAAUAUGGUAUUUCAGUUUUAUGUUAACAUGAUAAAGUCAUGUGCACUGUAGGACCAUUGGUCCCUGUCCACCCUUCACAGCUGCCCAGAUGCAGAGGGUCGCGCGGCUGUGUGUGAGGAGUGAGCCUCCCUGCUUCCCCCAGCGGCUCCUCCGGGUUGUCUCAGGAUUCUCUGCAAUCCAAAUGUACCAUUCUGGCUGAAGCCCAGCCGGAAUCCCCUGAGUGGAAGAAACGGGGGAAAAUUCAUAUUUUCCUUCUGUUUAAACUUCAAUUCCAAAGGUGCACAGAUGUAUUCAUAAAGGAAGACAUUAGAUCCGCCGUUGUGGCCACCAGGCUCUGUGGACCCAUCUCAGUGGAGAAUUUGUUUUGGACCCGUAGCUCCGUGCAGCUGUGGACUCGAGUGCCAUCCACUGGUGUGAGUCUUGCGGGGAGGCCACAGGAAAACGUUCUGUGUCAAGUGCCGCCUCGCUGUGUCCGGCAUGGGACUGUGCUGGAGGGUCCGGCGUGGAAGGCAGACCUCCUGUACCUCUAUCGUUCCCAUUUGUGGCAUCCAAAGGCGGAAGGCUCAUGGCUUCCCCGCUAGAGGCGGCAUCUUGGGCUUUCCCAUUGGAUUUUGAAAGGCAUUAAGACUGUUUGGAGAGAUGUUGGCUGUAUUUCGUGUCACAUCAGUUUGUAUGAUGAUGAAUAAAAGGUGCUGUGACCCGUGUUUUCAA